RNAcentral lists this ribosomal RNA (1494 nucleotides) under Triticum aestivum (bread wheat). RNAcentral's name for it is "partial small subunit ribosomal RNA". The record is from RNAcentral. Lineage: Eukaryota; Viridiplantae; Streptophyta; Magnoliopsida; Poales; Poaceae.
AUGGAGCAGGAGUUUCAUGCUCUUCUUCGUAACAAGACAUGGACUCUCGUUCCUCCACCACCACGGGUAAAUGUUAUUGACUCAAAAUGGGUAUUCAAAGUGAAGAAGCAUUCGGAUGGAUCUAUUGAGCGUUACAAGGCGCGACUUAUUGCUCGCGGUUUUCGGCAGCGUCAUGGUCUUGACUAUGAGGACACCUUCAGUCCUGUCGUCAAGCCUACCACUAUUCGGCUUCUUCUCUCCAUUGCUGUUUCUCGUGGUUGGUCACUUCGUCAACUUGAUGUGCAGAAUGCCUUUCUACAUGGAUUUUUGGAGGAAGAGGUUUAUAUGAAACAACCGCCUGGUUUCUCUGAUCCUGAUCGUCCUGACUAUAUCUGUCGUCUUUCCAAAGCACUAUAUGGUUUGAAGCAAGCUCCUCGUGCCUGGCAUGCCCGCCUUGCCUCUGCCCUUCGUGCUCAUGGGUUUGUGCCGUCCACUGCUGACACUUCAUUAUUUCUUCUACAGAAGCCAGAAGUCACUAUGUAUCUUUUGGUAUAUGUCGAUGAUAUUAUCCUUGUCAGCUCUUCUCAGUAUGCUGCUGAUGCUCUUGUCUGCUCUCUUGGUGCUGAUUUUGCGGUCAAAGAUCUUGGGAAGCUUCACUAUUUUCUUGGAGUUGAGGUCACUUCUCGUGCUACUGGUCUUGUCCUUACGCAGAAGAAGUACUCCUUGGAGUUGUUACAAAAAGCCGGCAUGCUGAAGUGCAAACCGACCACCACACCCAUGUCGUCUACCGACAAGAUAACAGCUGUUGAUGGUGAGCUUUUGUCUCCUGCGGAUGCCACAGAGUACAGAAGCAUUGUUGGUGGACUUCAGUACUUGACGAUCACGAGACCAGAUAUCUCUUAUGCUGUUAACAGAGUUUGUCAGUAUCUUCAGGCUCCCAGAGAUACUCAUUGGGCUGCUGUUAAACGCAUUCUUCGUUAUGUUCAGUUCACUCUGACUUUUGGUAUGCAUAUUCGGCCGACUUCCUCUCGGGUCCUUUCGGCCUUCUCUGAUGCAGAUUGGGCUGGUAGUCCAGAUGACAGGCGAUCCACGGGGGGUUAUGCAGUAUUCUUUGGCUCUAAUUUGAUCGCCUGGAGUGCUCGGAAACAGGCUACUGUGUCACGUAGCAGUACUGAAGCUGAGUACAAGGCUGUGGCUAAUGCUACUGCAGAGAUUAUUUGGGUGCAGUCUUUGCUUCAGGAGUUGGGUUUGUCUCAACCACAGCCUCCUAUUCUUUGGUGUGAUAACAUCGGUGCUACAUACCUUUCUGCAAAUCCAGUAUUUCAUGCCCGAACGAAACACAUUGAAGUUGACUAUCACUUUGUACGGGAACGUGUAUCACAGAAGCAACUCCAGAUCAAGUUUAUCUCGUCUAAGGAUCAACUUGCAGACAUCUUCACUAAGCCUUUACCACUGCCACAGUUUGAGGCUUGUAGGCGCAAUCUUACCCUUCUCAGUUCUUUAGAAAGUGGCUAA